Molecule: long non-coding RNA, 1198 nt
Filed under: Bos indicus x Bos taurus (hybrid cattle)
Lineage: Eukaryota; Metazoa; Chordata; Mammalia; Artiodactyla; Bovidae
Description: lncRNA (ENSBIXG00005005887.1)
Source: RNAcentral
CUCCCCAAAUACAAUGAUACAAUAGGAUCUUUUAAAAGCAACUUCAGAACUCCAGGACAAAAAGAAGAAAAAUCAGAUGAGGUCAGAUGUGAAAUCAACACACAGAAGGCACAUCAUGAAGUCUAUGGCCUGAGUUGGCAGUAAUACAAAGGCAAUGCAGGAUACCCUUGCCCAGAAGCACAGCAAUUUCUGGUUACUGGAUACAGUGAGUCCCAGAGAAAUGAUUAGUCUAAGUCAAUCCAGACUGCCUCACAAGUCAGAAAUGAAGAGAAGGGCCAGAUGGAAGCUUGGCAAGAUGGACUAAAGCCCAGACUCCAGUUUUCUUCACUUCUCAUGCUCACUCUUCUUUAAUUAAUGGUGAUAUUGUCGAUGCUAACCCUUUCUUUCCUUCAGUAGAAGUCGUUGCUGUGAGUUGUCUCCUCACUGAUGGAAACAUACUCACUCUUGGGAAUCAACAGAACAUCCUAGCAAAUUGAAACCACAGCAUUCACCUAAUGAAUGGAAUUCUUCUUGGUGAAAAUCCAGCUACUUCAUUAACUAGGAUCGAACCAUACACUCAGCUUCAUUAGGUUCAUGUCUAUUCAACUGAAAUAUCCAGCCCCAAAGACACUGAAAUGCAAGUUAUAUGGGCAGAACAAUUCUGAGGAUUCAUGGAAACAUAUACCUUCUCUGCUCAGAAAUAGAUAUUAAAAUAGGUAAGAGGAUAUCAUAGGGAAAAAAGAUUACUGCUAACAAGAACAAGGGGAAAAAAUGGCAAAAGGAAAUUAGAGAAUUUGAACAUUUUACCUGAAUUCAUCCAAGUCUCACCACUGAAGAACAGGCUGUUGACAACUUUCUCGAGAGUUUACACGGCAAAGCCCCUGCUGGAUAAUCCACCGUCCCAGGUCUAAGCAUUCACAUCAAAAACAAAACAGACUCUCAGCAGGCAUAACUACCUUUUGAAACUGAUUUAGGACGUAAUUUAAAUGCUUUCUGAAAUCACAGGGUUUUUUUUUUUUAAUGCAUUCAUCCUGUCUCUACCUCCUUACCUCUCAAUUCUUUUUCUCUAUUGUAGAAAAAAAAGAAGGUUAGCAAAAUUUGAAGAAGAAGGUUAAAAGGUGAGCUGUAUUGCGGAGAUAAAUAAGUUCACAUUCCCCUGGCCAUGACUCCCUGGGCUGUACAAUUUGAAGAGAGAAUAAAAUGAGUCUCAUCUUUCGCA